This 816-nucleotide ribosomal RNA is filed under the name proteobacterium SW1. RNAcentral describes it as "bacterial SSU rRNA". It matches the Rfam family "Bacterial small subunit ribosomal RNA", at positions 55 to 869 of the family's 1533-position model. The record is from RNAcentral. Lineage: Bacteria; Pseudomonadati; Pseudomonadota.
AUGCAGUCGAACGGUAACAUUUCUAGCUUGCUAGAAGAUGACGAGUGGCGGACGGGUGAGUAAUGCUUGGGAACUUGCCUUUGCGAGGGGGAUAACAGUUGGAAACGACUGCUAAUACCGCAUAAUGUCUUCGGACCAAACGGGGCUUCGGCUCCGGCGCAAAGAGAGGCCCAAGUGAGAUUAGCUAGUUGGUAAGGUAACGGCUUACCAAGGCGACGAUCUCUAGCUGUUCUGAGAGGAAGAUCAGCCACACUGGGACUGAGACACGGCCCAGACUCCUACGGGAGGCAGCAGUGGGGAAUAUUGCACAAUGGGGGAAACCCUGAUGCAGCCAUGCCGCGUGUGUGAAGAAGGCCUUCGGGUUGUAAAGCACUUUCAGUUGUGAGGAAAAGUUAGUAGUUAAUACCUGCUAGCCGUGACGUUAACAACAGAAGAAGCACCGGCUAACUCCGUGCCAGCAGCCGCGGUAAUACGGAGGGUGCGAGCGUUAAUCGGAAUUACUGGGCGUAAAGCGCACGCAGGCGGUUUGUUAAGCUAGAUGUGAAAGCCCCGGGCUCAACCUGGGAUGGUCAUUUAGAACUGGCAGACUAGAGUCUUGGAGAGGGGAGUGGAAUUCCAGGUGUAGCGGUGAAAUGCGUAGAUAUCUGGAGGAACAUCAGUGGCGAAGGCGACUCCCUGGCCAAAGACUGACGCUCAUGUGCGAAAGUGUGGGUAGCGAACAGGAUUAGAUACCCUGGUAGUCCACACCGUAAACGCUGUCUACUAGCUGUGUGUGCCUUUAAGGCGUGCGUAGCGAAGCUAACGCGCUAAGUAGAC